AGAGCGAACGCUGGCGGCGUGCUUAACACAUGCAAGUCGAACGAGGUCUGUAGCAAUACAGAUACUCGUGGCGAACGGGUGCGUAACACGUGGAUAACCUUCCUUCAGGUGGGGAAUAACCCAGUGAAAAUUGGGCUAAUACCGCAUAACAUGACGAGGGCACAUGCUUUUGUCUUCAAAGGCGCAAGUCGCCAGAAGAGGGAUCCGCGGCCGAUUAGCUAGUUGGUGAGGUAAUGGCUCACCAAGGCUUUGAUCGGUA
RNAcentral lists this ribosomal RNA (259 nucleotides) under uncultured bacterium. Its description in RNAcentral is "partial small subunit ribosomal RNA". It matches the Rfam family "Bacterial small subunit ribosomal RNA", at positions 26 to 285 of the family's 1533-position model. The record is from RNAcentral.